RNAcentral lists this ribosomal RNA (253 nucleotides) under uncultured bacterium. Its description in RNAcentral is "partial 16S ribosomal RNA". It matches the Rfam family "Bacterial small subunit ribosomal RNA", at positions 524 to 776 of the family's 1533-position model. The record is from RNAcentral.
UACAGAGGUGGCAAGCGUUGUUCGGAAUUACUGGGCGUAAAGGGCGCGCAGGCGGUCUUGCAAGUCCCGUGUGAAAUCCCUCGGCUCAACUGGGAAACUGCAUCGGAAACUGAUCGGCUGGAAGGUGGGAGAGGGUAGUGGAAUUCCCGGUGUAGUGGUGAAAUGCGUAGAUAUCGGAAGGAACACCAGUGGCGAAGGCGACUACCUGGCCCAUACCUGACGCUGAGGCGCGAAAGCUAGGGGAGCGAGCGGG